CGGAACGGGUGAGUAACGCGUGAGGAACCUGCCCCAAAGAGGGGGACAACAGUUGGAAACGACUGCUAAUACCGCAUAAGCCCACAGCUCGGCAUCGAGCAGAGGGAAAAGGAGCAAUCCGCUUUGAGAUGGCCUCGCGUCCGAUUAGCUAGUUGGUGAGGUAACGGCCCACCAAGGCGACGAUCGGUAGCCGGACUGAGAGGUUGAACGGCCACAUUGGGACUGAGACACGGCCCAG
RNAcentral lists this ribosomal RNA (238 nucleotides) under uncultured bacterium. Its description in RNAcentral is "partial 16S ribosomal RNA". It matches the Rfam family "Bacterial small subunit ribosomal RNA", at positions 100 to 334 of the family's 1533-position model. The record is from RNAcentral.